Molecule: ribosomal RNA, 229 nt
Filed under: uncultured bacterium
Lineage: Bacteria
Description: partial 16S ribosomal RNA
Rfam family: Bacterial small subunit ribosomal RNA
Source: RNAcentral
UGCGUAGGCGGAAAAUUAAGUCAGUGGUGAAAUCCUGCAGCUUAACUGUAGAACUGUUAUUGAUACUGGUUUUCUUGAAUAUAGUUGAGGUAGGCGGAAUGUGUAAUGUAGCGGUGAAAUGCUUAGAUAUUACACAGAACACCGAUUGCGAAGGCAGCUUACUAAGCUAUGAUUGACGCUGAGGUACGAAAGCGUGGGGAGCGAACAGGAUUAGAUACCCUGGUAGUCC